This 628-nucleotide ribosomal RNA is filed under the name Purpureocillium lilacinum. RNAcentral describes it as "eukaryotic LSU rRNA". The stretch from base 244 to 397 matches the Rfam family "5.8S ribosomal RNA". Lineage: Eukaryota; Fungi; Ascomycota; Sordariomycetes; Hypocreales; Ophiocordycipitaceae. The record is from RNAcentral.
UCCUCCGCUUAUUGAUAUGCUCCGUUUCCGUAGGUGAACCUGCGGAGGGAUCAUUACCGAGUUAUACAACUCCCAAACCCACUGUGAACCUUACCUCAGUUGCCUCGGCGGGAACGCCCCGGCCGCCGGCCUCCGCGCCGGCGCCGGACCCAGGCGCCCGCCGCAGGGACCCAAAACUCUUUUGCAUUACGCCCGCCGGCGGAAUUUCUUCUCUGAGUUGCACAAGCAAAACAAAUGAAUCAAAACUUUCAACAACGGAUCUCUUGGUUCUGGCAUCGAUGAAGAACGCAGCGAAAUGCGAUAAGUAAUGUGAAUUGCAGAAUUCAGUGAAUCAUCGAAUCUUUGAACGCACAUUGCGCCCGCCAGCAUUCUGGCGGGCAUGCCUGUUCGAGCGUCAUUUCAACCCUCGAGCCCCCCCGGGGGCCUCGGUGUUGGGGGACGGCACACCAGCCGCCCCCGAAAUGCAGUGGCGACCCCGCCGCAGCCUCCCCUGCGUAGUAGCACACACCUCGCACCGGAGCGCGGAGGCGGUCACGCCGUGAAACGCCCAACUUUCUUAGAGUUGACCUCGGAUCAGGUAGGAAUACCCGCUGAACUUAAGCAUAUGGACCGCAGGUUCACCUACGGA